UGUCUCUUGGCGGGCAGCGGGGGCAGCGUGGGGGCCGGGGCGGCGGUGGGGGCCGGGGCGGCAGUGGGGGCCG
This 73-nucleotide microRNA precursor is filed under the name Sorex araneus (European shrew). RNAcentral's name for it is "miRNA (ENSSARG00000019818.1)". Lineage: Eukaryota; Metazoa; Chordata; Mammalia; Eulipotyphla; Soricidae. The record is from RNAcentral.